Molecule: long non-coding RNA, 1601 nt
Organism: Eriocheir sinensis (Chinese mitten crab)
Lineage: Eukaryota; Metazoa; Arthropoda; Malacostraca; Decapoda; Varunidae
Exons: 4
Source: RefSeq, a predicted model, not a curated record
CUACUGCCUCAAAACGAUCUUGUCGCUGCCAUUACGUCUAGCGCCUGGCAGGUCUCUUAAUACGUCUUCCUUGUCCAUGGCCGAGGGGGAUACUUGGCGGUGAGGCCAGAGGUCAACAUUUCAACAAGAGUCACCCAGGGUGUGGGUGACCAGGGGUGAGCAGUGACCUGACCACCCUCCCCUUGCCACAGGAACCCAAGGAGUAUGGCUUGAUCCUGCCCAGCAAGAACAAGAACAAGGUUGGGGGAGAGCUAGGCACGCGGAAACUCAACCCUCUGCUGGACUCAGAUGACGAGCUGGACCAGGAUGAAGAGUACCCCCUUGACUGGGUGGAGGCAUCCCUCAAGCCGGGAGCUCAGGUCAGCAGAGUCUACAGAAGCGGCUGCUGCGCGAGGCUCUGCAGGAGGACGCGUCAGUGUUCCAGCGUGACGAGGCGUACGACAGCAUGCAGGCCGCCAAGACGGGCCGCCGGGAAGCUAAGGACCCAGCCGCCAAGAAGAGUGUGAUCUUCAGAGAGAAUACAAGAGGCACAUUUCAGCAACACACACACACACGCACGGAUUGCCUUGUGUUGAGACGUCUGGAAGGGCAGCGUGUUGGCCGGCUCCUUGUGUCUUCCCAGCCAUGGAGUGCACAGACAUGAAUAAGGUUGUAUACUUAAACAUUUCAGCGCUCAACACACACACACACACACACACACACACACACACACUCUCUCUCUCUCUCUCUCUCUCUCUCUCUCUCUCUCUCUCUCUCUCUCUCUCUCUACUCUAUUCAGGAGCAGUAAGUAGCAGGCUUUUUUUUUCAUUAUUGUUUUCUUUUUUUUUCGCCCUUGAACCGUCUCCUCUGCUGUAAAAAAAAAAAAAAAAAGUAGGUACACAUAUUUGACAAGGCUUUCGUAGGAGUUGUGGGUAUUUCCAGCGGUAGUAGUUUCCACGAGGCCUCGGUUCCCCUGGAGAAGCAGUGAGCAAGACUAGUUGGGAAAGUUUGGUUUAGUCGGCGCAACAUCUGUGGUCAUAUGCCGGAGAGAGACAGAAGGGGAAGGAAUUAUAGGAGAAGGGAACAGACCCCAGGAGACGGGACACAACCCCCGAUUAAUACCUGGUACACUGCUGGGUGGACAGGGGCAUAGCUGGGCAUGAUAACAGAAAACCUUAUUCCCGAUAACCGAUAACUGAUAAUGGAAAACCUUAUCAGUGAUAACCGAUAUUCGUUAACUGGAGACACAAAUAUAGGCGAUAACCGAUACCCGAUAUAAAUUCACAAUUCCGAUGCUAGCUAGCGAUAAGUCCAAUAGACGAAAACGAUACUAUAUUGAUAUUUCAAAUAAAAAACAAAGAUGAAUUCAAAUUUUCAUUAUCUGUAUCUUAGAAAACUUACAAAACCUGAACACCACACGUUGACACGUACCUAUGGACGGUAAUACUAGAAACGCCUGAACCGGUGUUGUGUUAUUUGACGUCCCCACCGUCAAUGCUUUUGUUUACAAACACUGGUCUCUCGUGAACUGAGCAUGCUCAGACCAGCAAGCGUUGACCUGAUCAGUCUCACAAAGCUUUUUAACCGUAAUUAAGAGUUGCUGGAAGCCUGAAUCAGACAUC